This is a long non-coding RNA of Zeugodacus cucurbitae (melon fly), 225 nucleotides long. RefSeq lists it as uncharacterized. The transcript is spliced from 2 exons. The record is from RefSeq and is a predicted model, not a curated record. NCBI's taxonomy places the organism in Eukaryota, Metazoa, Arthropoda, Insecta, Diptera, Tephritidae.
CUUCCAACAGGCUUUGUAUCUCAUCGACGAUUUUUAACUUAUCGCCCACCGAAUCUGCUAAGGUUGUGGAUAAAUUUUGAUCGGGCAGUAAGACUUGCAUUUUCGUUGAGUUGAAUUUAAUGUCUUUUUUUAUAGUUUUAAAUGACUUAUGUGUCUUUUUAUCAAUUUUCAAUUUAUUUUUAUGUGCGCUCGUGCUAAAAUUUUUAUAAAUAGCGCCAAGAAUUU